Molecule: ribosomal RNA, 1478 nt
Filed under: Lactobacillus sp. Sy-1
Lineage: Bacteria; Bacillati; Bacillota; Bacilli; Lactobacillales; Lactobacillaceae
Description: partial 16S ribosomal RNA
Rfam family: Bacterial small subunit ribosomal RNA
Source: RNAcentral
UGCAGUCGAACGAACUUCCGUUAAUGAUAGUUGAUGCUUGCAUUAACUUGACUUAACAUCAUUUGGAAACAAGUGCUAAUACCGCAUAACAACAAAAACCGCAUGGUUUUUGUUUGAAAGAUUUGGAAACAAGUGCUAAUACCGCAUAACAACAAAAACCGCAUGGUUUUUGUUUGAAAGAUGCGUUUGCAUCACUUUAGGAUGGACCUGCGGCGUAUUAGCUUGUUGGUGGGGUAAUGGCCUACCAAGGCAAUGAUACGUAGCCGACCUGAGAGGGUAAUCGGCCACAAUGGGACUGAGACACGGCCCAUACUCCUACGGGAGGCAGCAGUAGGGAAUCUUCCACAAUGGACGAAAGUCUUCUGAAGGAAGCAAACGCCCGCCUUGAGUGAAGAAAGGGUUUUCGGCUUCGUAAAAAUUCUGUUGUUAAGGAAGAACCAAGUUUGAUAGGAAAUGAUCAAGCUUUGACGGUAUUUAACCAGAAAAGUCACGGCUAACUACGUGCCAGCAGCCGCGGUAAUACGUAGGUGGCAAACGUUGUCCGGAUUUAUUGGGCGUAAAGCGAGCGCAGGCGGUUUUUUAAGUCUGAUGUGAAAGCCUUCGGCUUAACCGAAGAAGUGCAUCGGAAACUGGGAAACUUGAGUGCAGAAGAGGACAGUGGAACUCCAUGUGUAGCGGUGAAAUGCGUAGAUAUAUGGAAGAACACCAGUGGCGAAGGCGGCUGUCUGGUCUGUAACUGACGCUGAGGCUCGAAAGCAUGGGUAGCAAACAGGAUUAGAUACCCUGGUAGUCCAUGCCGUAAACGAUGAAUGCUAGGUGUUAGAGGGUUUCCGCCCUUUAGUGCCGCAGCUAACGCAUUAAGCAUUCCGCCUGGGGAGUACGACCGCAAGGUUGAAACUCAAAGGAAUUGACGGGGACCCGCACAAGUGGUGGAGCAUGUGGUUUAAUUCGAUGCUACGCGAAGAACCUUACCAGGCCUUGACAUCUCCUGCAAAGCUAAGAGAUUAGCCGUUCCCUUCGGGGACAGGAUGACAGGUGGGUGCAUGGUUUGUCGUCAAGCCCGUGUCCUGGAAAUGUUGGGGUUAAGUCCCCGCAACCAACCGCAACCCCCUAUUAUUAAGUUGCCCAGCAUUUAAUUUGGGGCACUCCUAGUGAGAACUGCCCGUUGACAAAACCCGAAAGAAAGGUGGGGACGACGUCAAAUCAUCAUGCCCCUUAUGGCCUGGGCUACACACGUGCUACAAUGGACGGUACAACGAGUCGCAAAACCGCGAGGUCAAGCUAAUCUCUUAAAGCCGUUCUCAGUUCGGAUUGCAGGCUGCAACUCGCCUGCAUGAAGUUGGAAUCACUAGUAAUCGUGGAUCAGCAUGCCACGGUGAAUACGUUCCCGGGUCUUGUACACACCGCCCGUCACACCAUGAGAGUUAGUAAUACCCAAAGUCGGUGUAGUAACCUCUUUGAGGAGCAAACCGCCUAAU